CGGUAAGGUGAUAUGAACCGUUAUAACCGGCGAUUUCCGAAUGGGGAAACCCAGUGUGUUUCGACACACUAUCAUUAACUGAAUCCAUAGGUUAAUGAGGCGAACCGGGGGAACUGAAACAUCUAAGUACCCCGAGGAAAAGAAAUCAACCGAGAUUCCCCCAGUAGCGGCGAGCGAACGGGGAGCAGCCCAGAGCCUGAAUCAGUGUGUGUGUUAGUGGAAGCGUCUGGAAAGGCGCGCGAUACAGGGUGACAGCCCCGUACACAAAAAUGCACAUGCUGUGAGCUCGAUGAGUAGGGCGGGACACGUGGUAUCCUGUCUGAAUAUGGGGGGACCAUCCUCCAAGGCUAAAUACUCCUGACUGACCGAUAGUGAACCAGUACCGUGAGGGAAAGGCGAAAAGAACCCCGGCGAGGGGAGUGAAAAAGAACCUGAAACCGUGUACGUACAAGCAGUGGGAGCACGCUUAGGCGUGUGACUGCGUACCUUUUGUAUAAUGGGUCAGCGACUUAUAUUCUGUAGCAAGGUUAACCGAAUAGGGGAGCCGAAGGGAAACCGAGUCUUAACUGGGCGUUAAGUUGCAGGGUAUAGACCCGAAACCCGGUGAUCUAGCCAUGGGCAGGUUGAAGGUUGGGUAACACUAACUGGAGGACCGAACCGACUAAUGUUGAAAAAUUAGCGGAUGACUUGUGGCUGGGGGUGAAAGGCCAAUCAAACCGGGAGAUAGCUGGUUCUCCCCGAAAGCU
This 746-nucleotide ribosomal RNA is filed under the name Escherichia coli. RNAcentral's name for it is "partial 23S ribosomal RNA". It matches the Rfam family "Bacterial large subunit ribosomal RNA", at positions 79 to 867 of the family's 2925-position model. The record is from RNAcentral. Lineage: Bacteria; Pseudomonadati; Pseudomonadota; Gammaproteobacteria; Enterobacterales; Enterobacteriaceae.